RNAcentral lists this ribosomal RNA (746 nucleotides) under Microbacterium sp. 2A4. RNAcentral's name for it is "bacterial SSU rRNA". It matches the Rfam family "Bacterial small subunit ribosomal RNA", at positions 678 to 1421 of the family's 1533-position model. The record is from RNAcentral. Lineage: Bacteria; Bacillati; Actinomycetota; Actinomycetes; Micrococcales; Microbacteriaceae.
GCGGUGGAAUGCGCAGAUAUCAGGAGGAACACCGAUGGCGAAGGCAGAUCUCUGGGCCGUAACUGACGCUGAGGAGCGAAAGGGUGGGGAGCAAACAGGCUUAGAUACCCUGGUAGUCCACCCCGUAAACGUUGGGAACUAGUUGUGGGGUCCUUUCCACGGAUUCCGUGACGCAGCUAACGCAUUAAGUUCCCCGCCUGGGGAGUACGGCCGCAAGGCUAAAACUCAAAGGAAUUGACGGGGACCCGCACAAGCGGCGGAGCAUGCGGAUUAAUUCGAUGCAACGCGAAGAACCUUACCAAGGCUUGACAUACACGAGAACGGGCCAGAAAUGGUCAACUCUUUGGACACUCGUGAACAGGUGGUGCAUGGUUGUCGUCAGCUCGUGUCGUGAGAUGUUGGGUUAAGUCCCGCAACGAGCGCAACCCUCGUUCUAUGUUGCCAGCACGUAAUGGUGGGAACUCAUGGGAUACUGCCGGGGUCAACUCGGAGGAAGGUGGGGAUGACGUCAAAUCAUCAUGCCCCUUAUGUCUUGGGCUUCACGCAUGCUACAAUGGCCGGUACAAAGGGCUGCAAUACCGUGAGGUGGAGCGAAUCCCAAAAAGCCGGUCCCAGUUCGGAUUGAGGUCUGCAACUCGACCUCAUGAAGUCGGAGUCGCUAGUAAUCGCAGAUCAGCAACGCUGCGGUGAAUACGUUCCCGGGUCUUGUACACACCGCCCGUCAAGUCAUGAAAGUCGGUAACACC